RNAcentral lists this ribosomal RNA (1358 nucleotides) under Coleoptera sp. 4 KM-2017. RNAcentral's name for it is "16S ribosomal RNA". The stretch from base 1054 to 1213 matches the Rfam family "Archaeal large subunit ribosomal RNA", at positions 2542 to 2701 of the family's 2987-position model. The record is from RNAcentral. Lineage: Eukaryota; Metazoa; Arthropoda; Insecta; Coleoptera.
AUAAUUUGGAUAGUAAAUUAGUUAUUUUUUUUAUAAAAGAAUUUAUGGUUAAAAAAAAAAAUUUUUUUUUUAUUAUUUUAUGAAAAAAUUAAUUUUAUUAUAGUAAAUUAGUAUUGAGAAAGAAAAGUUUUAUUUUAAUAAAAGAAUAAUUUAUUUUUAGUACCUUGUGUAUCAGGGUUAAUUAAAUAAAAUAUUAUUAAUUGAUAUUUCUCGAAUUUAAAAGAGCUAUAAUUGUAUAAUUUUUAAUGUAAAAUAAUUAUUAUUAAUAUAAUUAUAGAAAUGAAAUGUUAGUCGUUUUUAAAUAUAUCUAGUUUUUUAAGAAAAAAAUUUAAUUUUUUUUUUAUUUAUUAUAAGAUUAAUUUUAAUAAUUUUAUAUUAAUAAAAUAUUAUAUUUUUAGGGAUAAGCUUAGGGGUAUAUCAAAUAUAAUAUAGAAUAAAUAAUUUUAGUAAAUAGAAUUAUAAGUUUUUAUUUUAUUAAGUGUUUUAUAACUAUACUAAAUAAAUAGUAAGAUUUUUAUAUUAUUUAUGUUUUUUAUUAAAAUAUAAGUUUUAAUAAAUUAAAUUUGGAAAUUAUGAUUAAAUUAGUAUAAAUAAGUUUUUAUAUGAAUUAUUAAUAGAAAGGUUAAUUUAAGGAAUUCGGCAAAUAUAUUUUUCACCUGUUUAUUAAAAACAUGGUUUUUUGAGUAUAAUUUAAGAUUAGGCCUGCUCAAUGAAAAUUAAAUAGCUGCAGUAUAUUGACUGUACAAAGGUAGCAUAAUCAUUAGUUUUUUAAUUGAAAGCUUGUAUGAAUGGUUUGAUGAGGGAAUUACUGUCUCUUUUUAAUUUAUUUAAAAUUUUAUUUUUAAGUAAAAAAGCUUAAAUAUUUAUAGAAGACGAGAAGACCCUAUAGAGUUUAAUAUUUUAAUUUUUUUAGUAUUUUAGAAUUUUGUUUCUAAAUAAAAAUAAGUAUUUAGUUGGGGUGAUUAAAAAAUUAAAAUAACUUUUUUUUUAAUAUAUCAUUAAUUUAUGAAUAUUUGAUCUUUUAAGAAUGAUUAUAAGAUAAAUUACCUUAGGGAUAACAGCGUAAUUUUUUUUUAGAGUUCAAAUUAAAAAAAAAGAUUGCGACCUCGAUGUUGGAUUAAAAUAAAUUAUUGGUGUAGGAGCUAAUUAAGGAGAGUCUGUUCGACUUUUAAAAUUUUACAUGAUCUGAGUUUAAACCGGCGUGAGCCAGGUUGGUUUCUAUCUCUAUAAAAAUAUAAUGUUUUAGUACGAAAGGAUUGAAUAUUAAAUUAUAUAAUUUAUAAAAUGGAGUGAAAAUAAGUUGUUUUGGCAGAUUAGUGCUAUAAAUUUAGAAUUUAUGAAAGUAGAAAUAUUACAAA